Molecule: ribosomal RNA, 476 nt
Filed under: uncultured bacterium
Lineage: Bacteria
Description: bacterial SSU rRNA
Rfam family: Bacterial small subunit ribosomal RNA
Source: RNAcentral
AGGACGACGCUGGCGGCGUGCCUAACACAUGCAAGUCGAGCGGAGAUACAUUGAAGAGCAAUCAGAUAUGUAUCUUAGCGGCGGACGGGUGAGUAACGCGUGGGCAACCUGCCUCAUACUGGGGGAUAACACAGGGAAACUUGUGCUAAUACCGCAUAAUAUCAUUAUAGGGCAUCCUGUGAUGAUCAAAGGAGCGAUCCGGUGUGAGAUGGGCCCGCAUCCAAUUAGCUAGUUGGUGGGGUAACGGCCCACCAAGGCGACGAUUGGUAGCCGAACUGAGAGGUUGAUCGGCCACAUUGGGACUGAGACACGGCCCAGACUCCUACGGGAGGCAGCAGUGGGGAAUAUUGCGCAAUGGGGGAAACCCUGACGCAGCAACGCCGCGUGAAGGAUGAAGGUCUUCGGAUUGUAAACUUCUUUGAUGAGGGACGAACACAAUGACGGUACCUCAAAAACAAGCCACGGCUAACUACGUG